CAAUAAAUAGUUUAUUAAAAUAAUAAUUUUGGAGAUUAUUGAUAUAGAGGUUUAAAUUUUCUAUUUUAUUGA
This 72-nucleotide transfer RNA is filed under the name Arctopsyche sp. XG-2022. RNAcentral's name for it is "tRNA-Pro". Lineage: Eukaryota; Metazoa; Arthropoda; Insecta; Trichoptera; Hydropsychidae. The record is from RNAcentral.